This 343-nucleotide ribosomal RNA is filed under the name uncultured bacterium. RNAcentral's name for it is "bacterial SSU rRNA". It matches the Rfam family "Bacterial small subunit ribosomal RNA", at positions 8 to 334 of the family's 1533-position model. The record is from RNAcentral.
AGGGUUUGAUCAUGGCUCAGGAUGAACGCUGGCGGCGUGCCUAACACAUGCAAGUCGAGCGGGAAAUCUUGGAAUGAUUCUUCGGAGGAAUGAAGAGAUGGAGAGCGGCGGACGGGUGAGUAACGCGUAGGCAACCUGCCCUUUGCAGAGGGAUAGCCACUGGAAACGGUGAUUAAAACCUCAUAAUACUGAAGGUUCACAUGGACAUUUGGUCAAAGAUUUAUCGGCAAAGGAUGGGCCUGCGUCUGAUUAGCUAGUUGGUGAGGUAACGGCUCACCAAGGCAACGAUCAGUAGCCGACCUGAGAGGGUAAUCGGCCACAUUGGAACUGAGACACGGUCCAA